AACGAACGCUGGCGGCAUGCCUAACACAUGCAAGUCGGACGAAGCCUUCGGGCUUAGUGGCGCACGGGUGCGUAACGCGUGGGAAUCUGCCCUUAGGUACGGAAUAACUCAGGGAAACUUGUGCUAAUACCGUAUGAUGUCGAGAGACCAAAGAUUUAUCGCCUAGGGAUGAGCCCGCGUAGGAUUAGCUAGUUGGUGGGGUAAAGGCCUACCAAGGCGACGAUCCUUAGCUGGUCUGAGAGGAUGAUCAGCCACACUGGGACUGAGACACGGCCCAGACUCCUACGGGAGGCAGCAGUGGGGAAUAUUGGACAAUGGGCGAAAGCCUGAUCCAGCAAUGCCGCGUGAGUGAAGAAGGCC
RNAcentral lists this ribosomal RNA (360 nucleotides) under uncultured bacterium. RNAcentral describes it as "bacterial SSU rRNA". It matches the Rfam family "Bacterial small subunit ribosomal RNA", at positions 29 to 416 of the family's 1533-position model. The record is from RNAcentral.